UUCUCAACUCAUUGGAAAGUGGUGCCAUUUAUACGUUAAUCUAGAGCUGUGAGAAAAUUGAUAGGUUAAAAGUAGCUUUGCAUAGACAACAUCUGCCAAGGAUAACAGCUUUGGAAAUUGGGCAGUUCUCUACCUAUUACCUCCAUACAAAGUGGACUUGUGACUGAGAUUCAGUUCUUGGUCACCAGUUCCAUAAAAAGUAUUUGUUUUAAUUCAAGAAUUCAAAUGAAGUCUUAAGCACUUUCGUGACGCUGUGGACAUUUUCUUUUUUUCACAAGAGUUCCAGAAAGUAUGUCUCAUUUGUCAUGGGAAGAGCAAAAUACUAGUGGAAACUUAAAUAGUUGGAAGAAGAAAAUUUCAGUGUU
Molecule: unclassified non-coding RNA, 365 nt
Filed under: Stegodyphus dumicola
Lineage: Eukaryota; Metazoa; Arthropoda; Arachnida; Araneae; Eresidae
Description: ecto-NOX disulfide-thiol exchanger 2-like, transcript variant X2
Source: RNAcentral